Molecule: ribosomal RNA, 373 nt
Filed under: uncultured bacterium
Lineage: Bacteria
Description: bacterial SSU rRNA
Rfam family: Bacterial small subunit ribosomal RNA
Source: RNAcentral
AUUGAACGCUGGCGGCAUGCCUUACACAUGCAAGUCGAACGGCAGCACGGGAGCAAUCCUGGUGGCGAGUGGCGAACGGGUGAGUAAUAUAUCGGAACGUGCCCAGUCGUGGGGAUAACGUAGCGAAAGCUACGCUAAUACCGCAUACGAUCUAUGGAUGAAAGCGGGGGAUCGCAAGACCUCGCGCGAUUGGAGCGGCCGAUAUCAGAUUAGGUAGUUGGUGAGGUAAAGGCUCACCAAGCCGACGAUCUGUAGCUGGUCUGAGAGGACGACCAGCCACACUGGGACUGAGACACGGCCCAGACUCCUACGGAGGCAGCAGUGGGAAUUUUUGGACAAUGGGCGCAAGCCUGAUCCAGCAAUGCCGCGUGCA